ACGUUCUAGAGAAAGGCUCCUGUGUUGUUGAACCUCCCCAGCUGUGGGUGCAACCCUAUACAGGCAGCCGGACCCUGACCUAGAAUUCAGUAAGAGCUGUGAGUAUGUUAGCAGCAGCCUGACAAUCACAUAUGGUACUGUAAAUAGAA
This is a small nucleolar RNA of Tupaia belangeri (northern tree shrew), 149 nucleotides long. The record is from Ensembl. NCBI's taxonomy places the organism in Eukaryota, Metazoa, Chordata, Mammalia, Scandentia, Tupaiidae.